AGUAAACAUCCUAAAUUAGAUAAUGUUAGUGAAUUCUAUUUUUGGCAUUGUAGGCUUGGUCAUGUGAAUAAGAAUAGGAUUGACAGGUGGAUCAAUGAACAUAUCCUUGAGAUAGAUGAUUGUGAAUCAUUGCCUACCAUGAGUCCUAUCUACUUGAUAAGAUGACUAAGUCACUUUUUAAGAAAAAAGGUGAAAGAGCCAGUGAUGUCCU
Molecule: long non-coding RNA, 211 nt
Filed under: Elaeis guineensis (African oil palm)
Lineage: Eukaryota; Viridiplantae; Streptophyta; Magnoliopsida; Arecales; Arecaceae
Description: long non-coding RNA (EGUI_LNC057341)
Source: RNAcentral